RNAcentral lists this ribosomal RNA (450 nucleotides) under uncultured bacterium. RNAcentral's name for it is "partial 16S ribosomal RNA". It matches the Rfam family "Bacterial small subunit ribosomal RNA", at positions 354 to 796 of the family's 1533-position model. The record is from RNAcentral.
GUGGGGAAUUUUGGACAAUGGGCGCAAGCCUGAUCCAGCAAUGCCGCGUGCAGGAAGAAGGCCUUCGGGUUAUAAACUGCUUUUGUACGGAACGAAACGGUCUUGGUUAAUACCUGGGGCUAAUGACGGUACCGUAAGAAUAAGCACCGGCUAACUACGUGCCAGCAGCCGCGGUAAUACGUAGGGUGCAAGCGUUAAUCGGAAUUACUGGGCGUAAAGCGUGCGCAGGCGGUUUUGUAAGACAGGCGUGAGAUCCCCGGGCUCAACCUGGGAAUUGCGCUUGUGACUGCAAGGCUGGAGUGCGGCAGAGGGGGAUGGAAUUCCGCGUGUAGCAGUGAAAUGCGUAGAUAUGCGGAGGAACACCGAUGGCGAAGGCAAUCCCCUGGGCCUGCACUGACGCUCAUGCACGAAAGCGUGGGGAGCAAACAGGAUUAGAUACCCGGGUAGUCC